AUAAAUCUUACAUAAGCUGAACUUUCUAUUUCAUAAAUUCCAAUACAGUGGUAGUGGUGGUUGAUGAUGGAGCAAACGAUAUGGGGUCAUUUGCCGGUGCUGAUGAGGGCAAAUUCCAAAGAAUCUAUAGAAUACAUACUUCAAGCCCUUUGGAGAACUCGAAAGAGUGGUCUUGGCACUUCUGAUCGAUGCAUCAUCCAAGACAUGCUUCAACUACACAAUGAAUCUGAUCUCGACCCACUUCUGGUUUGCCUCCGAAUGUUAAUCAGGAGGUGUGUUUAUGAGAAUACUUCAAAGGAGGAUAUUCCAAAGCUGUUUCCGGACGAAGUGCUGCCUGAAUUGCAAAAACUGUUGACACUUCUGUUGCAGAAGUUUCAGCGAGUAUGGCAAGAAGAUGUGAUGAAAGAUCAAAAUAUUGUGCCUAGAUUAAAGGCGAUGACAUGGAAUAUGGCAAAUCUGGAGAAAGGAUCAGCAGACCCUGCAGCGGUUAUUGAUUUGAAGCUUCAAAAUGAUGCUCCAUUUCAGUCGGGAGUUCAAGAUGUAAAGUUCCAGUUGGCUACAGAUUCUAUAGAUAUGAUGCUGAAAACCAUGCACUGUAUUAGAGACCAGUUUUCUACCAUGCACAAGUUUAAAUUUAUGUUGCACGGAGUACAGUACUGGUAUCGGAUACGGGUACCAACUACAGCAUUUUAAAAAAAGAGGUUAAAUUGGCUCUAUGGUGGAGCUCAACUGAGAACAUGAGAUUUUGAAUACAUAAUGUUAAUGUAAUUUAGAUUCUCAAUUCUCAGAGACUGAGCCUUGGCGUAAUGCAGGAGGACAUAGAUGACAGACCCAGCAGGGGGAAUCAAGAUUCGGGCUUCAGCCUCAACUGGCGAAAUCAUUUACGUAGUUUAGUAUUCCCUAUAUAAGAAAGAAAUAUGGUUAACAGUCACGCUUUUUGGUUAAGAUAAUUCCAUUGCUAUUAGUUAAAUUUCUAGUUUACUGGAUUUAGCAAUUCCCUUUUCCUAGUGAGAAACUCCUUUGGUUGUGGAUGGGGCAACCUCGUACAUAACUUCCUGCCAGUCAUUUUUUUCUUUCUCGCUUUCCCUUUGCAUUCUCAAGUUGUAAACAUGAAGAUCUUUGGAUUCCCUUUAUGGAUUACUUUAUUGGACAUCA
Vigna radiata var. radiata (mung bean) is the source of this 1155-nucleotide RNA transcript. RefSeq lists it as uncharacterized. Lineage: Eukaryota; Viridiplantae; Streptophyta; Magnoliopsida; Fabales; Fabaceae. The record is from RefSeq and is a predicted model, not a curated record. The transcript has 7 exons.